UCGUUAGCUCAGUUGGUAGAGCAGUUGACUUUUAAUCAAUUGGUCGCAGGUUCGAAUCCUGCACGAC
Molecule: transfer RNA, 67 nt
Filed under: Citrobacter koseri
Lineage: Bacteria; Pseudomonadati; Pseudomonadota; Gammaproteobacteria; Enterobacterales; Enterobacteriaceae
Also listed under: 117 other names
Rfam family: tRNA
About the family: Transfer RNA (tRNA) molecules are approximately 80 nucleotides in length. Their secondary structure includes four short double-helical elements and three loops (D, anti-codon, and T loops).
Source: RNAcentral